This 468-nucleotide ribosomal RNA is filed under the name uncultured bacterium. RNAcentral's name for it is "partial 16S ribosomal RNA". It matches the Rfam family "Bacterial small subunit ribosomal RNA", at positions 28 to 507 of the family's 1533-position model. The record is from RNAcentral.
GACGAACGCUGGCGGCGUGCUUAACACAUGCCAGUCGAACGGAAAGGCCCUGCUUUUGUGGGGUGCUCGAGUGGCGAACGGGUGAGUAACACGUGAGUAACCUGCCCUUGACUUUGGGAUAACUUCAGGAAACUGGGGCUAAUACCGGAUAGGAGCUCCUGCUGCAUGGUGGGGGUUGGAAAGUUUCGGCGGUUGGGGAUGGACUCGCGGCUUAUCAGCUUGUUGGUGGGGUAGUGGCUUACCAAGGCUUUGACGGGUAGCCGGCCUGAGAGGGUGACCGGCCACAUUGGGACUGAGAUACGGCCCAGACUCCUACGGGAGGCGGCAGUGGGGAAUAUUGCACAAUGGGCGGAAGCCUGAUGCAGCAACGCCGCGUGCGGGAUGACGGCCUUCGGGUUGUAAACCGCUUUCGCCUGUGACGAGGCGUGAGUGACGGUAAUGGGUAAAGAAGCACCGGCUAACUACGUG